This 292-nucleotide unclassified non-coding RNA is filed under the name Hevea brasiliensis (rubber tree). Lineage: Eukaryota; Viridiplantae; Streptophyta; Magnoliopsida; Malpighiales; Euphorbiaceae. The record is from RNAcentral.
CCAAAAAAAAAAAAAAAAGAAACCUCUACUUAUGAUGGUCCACUCAAACAAAGAACAUAAUCAGAGUCAGACAUCACCGAGUCUAAACUGCUGAACUCAUACUCAUUAGAAGACAUUGUUUAUGAAAAUCACAAGAAACGAAGAAAGCGAAAGCAUGUUAGUCCAUAAUUUGCAAUCACCUUAGAAGAACUGGUGCCAUUUUUAGGGCUUAGGGCUCAAUUUCACAAGUAUUUUAUACAAAGCAACAUCAAAUUUGCUGAAAACUUUUAGCAGGGUCUACGGGGGUGAGGGG